CGCUGGCGGCGUGCCUAACACAUGCAAGUCGAACGAAGCAUUUAAGUGAAUCCCUUCGGGGUGAAGCUUUUAUGACUUAGUGGCGGACGGGUGAGUAACGCGUGAGUAACCUGCCUUUCAGAGGGGGAUAACAGUUGGAAACGACUGCUGAUACCGCAUAAUGUUUCGGAAGGGCAUCCUUCUGAAACCAAAGCUUUAUGUGCUGAGAGAUGGUCUCGCGUCUGAUUAGCUAGAUGGCGGGGUAACGGCCCACCAUGGCGACGAUCAGUAGCCGGUCUGAGAGGAUGAACGGCCACAUUGGGACUGAGAUACGGCCCAGACUCCUACGGGAGGCAGCAGUGGGGAAUAUUGGGCAAUGGGCGAAAGCCUGACCCAGCAACGCCGCGUGAAGGAAGAAGGUCUUCGGAUUGUAAACUUCUUUUAUGAGGGACGAAGAAAGUGACGGUACCUCAUGAAUAAGCCACGGCUAACUACGUG
This 477-nucleotide ribosomal RNA is filed under the name uncultured bacterium. RNAcentral's name for it is "bacterial SSU rRNA". It matches the Rfam family "Bacterial small subunit ribosomal RNA", at positions 34 to 507 of the family's 1533-position model. The record is from RNAcentral.